RNAcentral lists this long non-coding RNA (1391 nucleotides) under Phasianus colchicus (ring-necked pheasant). Its description in RNAcentral is "lncRNA (ENSPCLG00000005343.1)". Lineage: Eukaryota; Metazoa; Chordata; Aves; Galliformes; Phasianidae. The record is from RNAcentral.
AUUUCGUCUGUCGCUGCUUUUUUUCAGCAGCAGCUGCACCUCCACUGAACUUCCCAUAGAGGCUCUUCAGUGCUUCCUUUUCCCUGAGAUCGCUGCCCUACAAUGGACGGAAGAUGAACGAGCAGCUUUUCUAACAUUUCUCAUAUCCCUGUAUUUGCACCUGGGCUGUUUUUCCAGCCUCCAGAUAAGUUUUGCCUCAUCUGCCUUUCGAGACAGUAUCUCAUGAUCUCACACACUCCUGGCCCUGGGGGCACCGCAGCUUUGCCACCCACUUACCAGGAAGAGCAGUCCUGUUGGGAACCAGGAGGAGAAGGAGCCCUGGGGUGAGCUGAGCCCUGCAGAUCCAGCCAGGGCAGAGCCAGGAGGAGCAGUCAGCCCUGCUGCAUUGCUGGUGGGCAAAGCAGAGGAAACCUGCUCCUUUCCCAGGGCAGAUGCAGUUACAGGGACAAGUUUGUCAGCUUCAUAAACAAAUAUACACAAGGCCAGUUAAAACCUGGGGGCAUUUCCCUGCGAAGAUAAGGAGGAUGGUUUGCAAAUCAGGAGAGCAAAAGGAAAAUGCUGCUAAUGUUAUUCUUGUUUUCUAAGCCAGCAAUUGCCUGCAGGUGCAAGGCUUUCUUAACCACGCAGAGAAAAGGAGAAGGCAGUGCUGAGAGUCUUCCACAUCCCCGGGGUUCAAAGGGGAAACACAUGCUCCUGAACUCAACAACACUGACAUUGCUGUCAAGGAGUUUGAGGAAGCAAUUCGAGUCAUCCUUGGAAAUCUUGAUGAUUUACAUCCAUUUUCUACAGAUCACUUCACUAUCUUUCCAUAUUUGAGUAAAUGGGAAAGAGUAUCAAAAAUGAGAUUCAAACAUGAGAAUGUCAAUCUCGUGCCUUAUCCCUACAUUUGCACUAUGUAUCUGGAGCUCAACUCAUUUCAGCAAAGUUUGUCCUUGGGUAAAGAAGUCAACAGCAACAAUUCUGAGCCUGUCAAGAGAAAAAGUGAAAUACCAGAAAGUACUGAAAUGGAAGAAACAGGGAAGAGGAGAAGAGUUGAAGGUCAAACAGAGACCUCAUAUCCAAAGUUAUGUAUGGACAGACCUGGAGCUGAGAGUGUUCACCAUGCAACUAAAGUAGAGCAUGGAUUUGAAAAGGUAAGCUACAGAAUAUUCAGAAAGACACAACAGUACUUAGUCCUAGAUUCUCAAGAUGGCAAGCAUAAAAUGCCUUCAGGUAUGUUUUUUCCCUUGUCAUUUGCAUCUGUGAUAGUGACUUUCUUGAUUGCUGCUCAUCAAAAUCAGUCAGAUGGUGAGUUUUACAGAGACAACACACAAACUUUUCUGGUUCUUCAGCUAAGAACUAAGGGUAAGCUUAACCUCUCAGAGAUGAACCUGAAGAAUUGCCUACCUUGA